Canis lupus familiaris (dog) is the source of this 1020-nucleotide long non-coding RNA. RefSeq lists it as uncharacterized. Lineage: Eukaryota; Metazoa; Chordata; Mammalia; Carnivora; Canidae. The transcript has 2 exons. The record is from RefSeq and is a predicted model, not a curated record.
CGCCGGGGGGCCAGCGGCCGCCGCCGGAUUUGAGCUGAGCGCCGGCGACGGCCCGGCUCCGCGGCUGCAGGGGCCGCGGGACGUGCAGAGUUGCGGGAUGGCCCUCGCACUGCUGCCGAGCUGAGGCGGCCCUGGGCAGACCCCGGGGCCCCCAGGCCUGGAGCCCCUACUAUCAGCCUCUUGAGGACCACCUCGAGGAACUUUCUUAAGGAAGAUGGUGACGGAUUUGGCUUUUCGGUGCGUCACUGCCACUUCAGCAAGGCCGCUAAAGGAGUCGGAGUGACAAGGACCCACUUGUGGUGCCCAGUGACAUGUCCCUCCCACAGGUGGGGGGCACCUGCCAGAGACGCCAGCCUGUCUGUGGGGGGUUCUCUGUCCACUGUGAAGAUCUGCCACUCGAGAGCCCGCCCAGAGGAGCGUCCAGGCAUGCUGGGACCAGGAGGCCUGCAGCGCUGGGCUCCUCCCAGACGGUGGGGGGUGAUGGCUGGAGCUGGGCCUGCACUUGUCAGAGCAGCUGGAGGGAGAGGCGGGCUUAGGUGAGACCUUACAUGGACUUCACUCACCUGUGGAGAGACGGUGUCCUGAAGGUCACUGUGGGUGUACUGGGGGUCACACCCAGCAGGCCUGGCAGGGCCAGGUUCCGCAGGUGACGGGGAGCUUGUGGGUGGCCUUGGCCCCAUGAGCCCCAGUGUUCUCAGCCAGCCCACAGGGUAUUUUACAGGGGGGGUCGUGCGGGAACUUUGCGGUCGGGAGGGGCUCCAGUGCCAUCCCCAACCUGGCCUGGCCCUGCAGAGUGACGGUGGCACCGAGCGGGGUCCUGUCUCACCUUGCUGGGGAACUGGCCUGACCUGGCUUGGUCCUGCCCUGCCCCGGAAUGAUGUGUGUGUGUGUGUGUGUGUGUGUGUGUGUGUGUGUGCCGGGAGCCGGGGGCGGGGAGCCAGGCCUCUCAGCACCGCGUAGCUCGCAGAUUGUUUUCAGAGUGCAGUUUAAAGCUCCAAAGUAAACUUUUCAGCAACUCCA